Molecule: ribosomal RNA, 507 nt
Filed under: uncultured Glomus
Lineage: Eukaryota; Fungi; Glomeromycota; Glomeromycetes; Glomerales; Glomeraceae
Description: SSU rRNA
Rfam family: Eukaryotic small subunit ribosomal RNA
Source: RNAcentral
AGCAGCCGCGGUAAUUCCAGCUCCAAUAGCGUAUAUUAAAGUUGUUGCAGUUAAAAAGCUCGUAGUUGAAUUUCGGGAUCAAUAUGUUGGUCGUGCCUCGGUACGUACUAGCAUAUUGGUUUCUCCUUUCUGAAGAACCAUGAUGUCAUUUAUUUGGUGUCGUGGGGAAUCAGGACUGUUACUUUGAAAAAUUAGAGUGUUUAAAGCAGGCUCACGCUUGAAUACAUUAGCAUGGAAUAAUGAAAUAGGACGUUUGAUUCUAUUUUGUUGGUUUCUAGGAUCGACGUAAUGAUUAAUAGGGAUAGUUGGGGGCAUUAGUAUUCAAUUGUCAGAGGUGAAAUUCUUGGAUUUAUUGAAGACUAACUACUGCGAAAGCAUUUGCCAAGGAUGUUUUCAUUAAUCAAGAACGAAAGUUAGGGGAUCGAAGACGAUCAGAUACCGUCGUAGUCUUAACCAUAAAACUAUGCCGACUAGGGAUCGGAUGAUGUUAAUUUUAAUGACUCAUUC